Molecule: long non-coding RNA, 30699 nt
Filed under: Populus tremula
Lineage: Eukaryota; Viridiplantae; Streptophyta; Magnoliopsida; Malpighiales; Salicaceae
Description: long non-coding RNA (PTRE_LNC002111)
Source: RNAcentral
UCACCUCACCACCACACAAUCAUUGAAACAAAUUAUGAAUCCCAUAGAAAGGUUUUUGAGUGCAUUGUUUCUCUUCCUUGUUUUUCCUUCUUGCUUAUCUAUUGACAUCAUAGCUCCAAACCAAUCAAUCAAAGAUGGAGAUGUUCUGGUCUCUAGUGGACAAAGCUAUGAACUCGGGUUCUUUAGCUCAGGCAUCGUUUCUACUCGUCGUUAUGUGGGAAUUUGGUACCGUAAGGUUUCAGAACGAACUGUUGUAUGGGUGGCAAAUAGAGAUAAUCCUAUCAAUGGUACCUCCGGAGUCCUAACUAUCAACAAACAAGGUAACCUUGUAAUUUAUGAAAACAACCGAAGUAGUGUUCCUGUUUGGUCUUCAAAUGUUCCAGCCUCAAUAUCAAUGACAAAUUGCACGGCUCAGCUCCUGGAUUCAGGAAACUUGGUCUUGGUUCAACAGGAUAGCAAAGGGAUCUUGUGGCAGAGUUUUGAUCAUGGUACAGAUACUCUGCUUCCUGGUAUGAAGCUUGGGCUGGACCUGAAAAUUGGUUUGAACCGGUCUCUGUCAUCUUGGAAGUCCAAAGAUGACCCGGGAACCGGAACCAUUUUCUAUGGUAUUGAUCCAAGUGGGUUUCCCCAGUUGUUCCUAUACAAGGGUCAAAUCCCAUGGUGGCGUGGCGGACCAUGGACUGGACUAAGAUGGAGCGGAGUACCCGAAAUGACCCCUACCUACAUCUUCAAUGUUACUUUCGUUAACAGCGUUGAUGAGGUAUCUAUAUUCUAUACUAUGAAUAAUCCCUCCAUCAUUUCAAGAAUGGUGGUGAACGAAUCAGGAGUAGUGCAACGGCUGUCGUGGAACGACCGUCAUCAACAAUGGAUCGGAGUUUGGUCCGCCCCAAAAGAACCAUGUGACACCUAUGGCCAAUGUGGUCCAAAUAGUAACUGUGACCCGUAUCAAGCAAAUAAUUUCAUAUGCAAAUGUCUACCCGGAUUCGAACCCAAGUCAUCCCAAGAAUGGUACCUAAGAGACGGGUCAGGAGGUUGUGUCAGGAAACCUAACGUGUCCACGUGUCGCGGCGGAGAAGGGUUCGUCAAGUUGGCUCGAGUGAAGGUGCCGGAUACAUCAAUGGCGAGUGCGAACAUGAAUUUGAGAUUGAAAGAAUGUGAGCAAGAGUGCUUGAGGAAUUGUUCUUGUACAGCUUAUGCUAGUGCUGACGAAAGAGGACUUGGGUGCUUGAGAUGGUAUGGUGAUCUGGUGGAUACAAGAACGUUUUCAGAUGUGGGGCAAGAGAUUUACAUCCGUGUGGAUAGAGCUGAAUUAGGUACAUGUCCAAUUCUACUACUAACUUGUUUACUUUUCCUUUGUUCACUUGCUAUGCUACACGUUUUGAUUCUUGAAGAAAUCUCAUAGACCUGAUAAAUCACAAGUAAUCAUUUUGCUUAUAAUUUAUUAGAAGUAAUUGACUAUUUGUAAAAAUGAUUCCAUUAAGCUUAAGUGCACAAAUAAACUAGGAUUGAUGGCAUAGAAGUAAUAAACUAAUUGUAAAAAUGUUUCUCCAAUUAUAUGAAAGAUAGCUUCCUGAGCAAUGUUUUUUUAUUAAUCAGCACGUAAUUUAUGAAUAGAAUGUUUGAUAAGGCCGGUAGGUCAAUAAAAGUGUUGACACGAAAUCCAUUGAUUAUUCAAUUAAUUUUCAUCAACUCAAUGAACUCGGAAUUGAUUGUUUUGAUUAAGUGAUCAUAUUAUUAUUUACUAGUAUAAUGAAUCGAGUAGUUUUGUCACAAACAUGCCUAUAUUGCUGCUCAUAGAAAUGACUAAAACAUUUUUUAACUUUCCUUCUAAGAAUAUAUAUUAAAAAAUAAAAAAUAUACUAAAACCUUUUUCACAGUAAUCCAUUGUGAAUUUCUUUUCUAAUCAUUAUUUUUUUUUUCUCUUUGUGGCAAACUUAACUACCAAUUUCUUAUAAUUUGUUAUGGAGAAACACAGUUGAAAGAUGGAGGCCAAAGUAUAAAAUAAGAAAAAAUUACAUGUUUGGAUUGAAACUCACACAAGUAAGUGUGUUUAGGUACCUAUACUUUUUUUUUUUGAAUUAUAGUCCCUUUAUUUUCUUAUGAUUUCGUUUUAAUAAAAAACUCUAUUUUUAUUAUUUUUAAAUCCCUAGUUUUGAGAGAUUAGAAAGAAAGUUGUUGGAAAACAACCAAAAAAAAAAAAGUUGUUUGUUAUUUAUAUUUCAGCCACUAAAAAGAUGAUGUUUUAUGUCAACGAGUUUUAUUAGAUUAUGAGAGUUUCAUUUAUGUGUAUUUUCCCUUUAUUUUACUUAAAGAAUUAGAUUGGAGUUCAGAUAAUUUUUUCUUUCAAUUUGAUUUUGUAUUUUUGACAAGCUUUUCGGCGUUUUGAGUGGAGUAGUUGGUUUAUUGAUAUUAUAGGAAUGUUUAUUAUUUUUUUGUAAGUGAAAAUUGGUUGAAAAUCAUAUUUUUAAAUAAAAAAAAGACCAGCUUGAUUUUUCAAUUAUCUGUUUGUUGGUUGAAAACUCGCAUUAAAAAAACAGAUAACCUUACUUUUCUAGCAACAUCAAUAACUAGAUUUUGAAAUUUUUAAAUGACCGUGUCGUUUAUUUUAUUUCAAAUAAAAAGGGUUGGAUGACUAAAUCUUUUCUAAUAUGAUUUUUUAAGAAGAUUAGACAGAAAAGCUCUUAAUAAUCUCUGAUCAGUUCCUCUCUUUCUCUGCUAGUAAACAUGUUCCUAAGUUUUUCCUCAAUUUCUCAACAAAAUCCUAACAAAAAGGGCACAUUCAAAAAGUUAUAUUGUUUAGAGAGCAAAAGUUUUUUUAAGAAAAAAAUUAGUUCAAUUGUAUUUGUUUUUUUUUCACUAGACUUGGGGGGUAAUUUAUAAUUUAGCGAUAUAUUUUCUGAUUUCUACUCCCUUUUCUUGCUUGACGCCAUUCCUCUUCUCUAGUGUUGCCUUUUCUCUUAAUAGACUAGGCGUCUUUCUUUAGCUUUAGUUUCUUUUUUAUUUAAAUAUAAAUUAAUUACAAUAGAUUAAUCCAAUGUAUGUGUGGGAUAUGACAAUUCGGUUUAAUUGAGAUUAAUUAAAUAAAUAUUUGUGAUGUUUUGUAAUAAAAUAUUAUUUAAUUUUUACUUGGUAUCCGAAUAAAAUUAUAAUUUUUUUUUUCUGAUAUUAGUAAGUAUUUUUUUUGUGAAACCUUAUAAUAUAUAUAUAUUUCAGUUUUAUUCAAUUAUUUUUAUAUGCUUGUUUACUUUUAUUAUUGUUUAAAAAAAAAAUCAGUUCAAAGAAACAAAUUCGUUGAAGCAACUAGAUCCAUAGUCCAUGUUUCAAUAUCAGAUAUCUUGAAUUACAUCUAUAUUUUAAUUUUUUAAUUUAGUCUUUGAUUAAAUAUUUUUUGAUAUUUUGCUUAGUUUUAAAAUAAAAUUAUAACAUUUUUUCAAUAUUAGUAUUUGUUUUUGUGUAACCCUACAAAGUCUCUUUUUUUUUUCUUCGAUAUUAUUCAAUCACUUUCAAAUACACAUUUGUUUUUAUUAUCGUUUGAUAAAAUAAAAAAUUAAUUUCAAGAAAUAAAAUUAUUAAACAUGAUGAAGUUCAUGGACUCUAAUAUAAGAUUAAUAUCUUUAUCUAUUUUCAUUUCUUAAUUUUUCAGUUCAAUUUUUAGUUUUUAUUAAUGAUUUGUUUAUUUUUUGUGUUUAUUAUCAUAAAUAAUUCUUAAUUUAUUUAAUUAAAUAUAUAUAUGCAUCAGUUUUUUAAUUUACAAUUAAAAAAAAAAAUAUAUCAUAAAUAUGUUUCAAACGUCUAUAUAUUCGUGUUUUUGCAUAAAAAAAUAAUAAUUUGACCAUGGCAAAGCAAGUCAAGUGGCUCGUUUCCUACUAAUUGUACUUGUCUUCAAGAUCCAUGCACCGCAUCGGCGACCAUGUUUAUCAUAAUUUCUUGUCUUGUAUAUAUAGUAUAGUCCAGUCUCAUCUACUCAGACAAACUUAAAAAUUAAAUUUAGUUUACUUAAGUCUCAAGCUCGUAUGAUCCUACGAAGGAGAUAGAAACAACAAAUCAUAGUAAAUAAAGUUUUUGGGGCGAGCAAAUUAGGUGAUGAAAAUUAUUCAAUACUUGUAGUUUACUCUUUGUUUUUUAAUUUCUCACAUUUAUAUGGUAUUCAAUUAUAUGAAAAAAAAUAAAAUAGAAUAGAGAGUAAUUAAAUAUAAAUUUAUAGUACUGAAUAAUUCCAAAUCAACAGCUUGAAAGAUUUAAUUUUCAACUCUUAUCACUAAACAUUUCUUAUAUUUUCAAUUUCAGCUAAAUAUGAAAAGUCAGGACCUCUUGCCAAUAAAGGAAUUAAAGCAAUCCUGAUAGUGUCUGUUGUUGUGACAUUGUUUCUGAUCAUCUUCCUUGUGUGUUGGUUUGUAAAGAAAAGGAGAAAAGGUAAGCAAAUUCCCUUCAAAUGUUGCUCCUGAGCAAUAUAUUUUUCGUAACAUUAUUAAACUCAGGGUGUUGAGUCAGUAAAAAUGCAAUAUUUCUCAGAGAGUCUUGAGCUCAAAAAAAGAUACCUUGAGUUAGAAGUUUUACCAGCUAGAAAUAAGUUUGCAUGUUGAUGACAGCCAGGGACAGGAAAAGAAGAAACGAAUUUCCGCUAUCAACUUCAAGGUCAAAUUGCUCGAGAAACUUACCAAUUAAGGAAUUUGAGGAAGGUACAACAAGUUCAGAUUUACCACUUUUUGAUCUUAGUGUCAUAGCUGCGGCAACAAAUAAUUUCUCAGAUGCCAACAAGCUUGGAGAGGGUGGUUUUGGCUCAGUGUAUAAGGUAGCCUAGCCUGCCUUGAAGUCCCUCAAACACAUAGCAUCACUUCAGUUUACAUGUUGAACUAUGAGAUUGAUGAAUUUGGAUUGAGAUUUUCAGGGUCUGCUGCAUGAUGGAAAGGAAAUUGCGGUCAAAAGACUAGCAAAGUAUUCUGGACAAGGGAUUAAUGAGUUCAGAAAUGAAGUCGAGCUCAUUGCAAAACUUCAGCACAGGAAUCUUGUGAGGAUAUUAGGUUGUUGCAUCCAAGGAAGAGAGAAGAUGUUGAUCUAUGAAUACUUGCCAAACAAAAGUUUGGACUCUUUUAUUUUCAGUAUGUCAUCAUCGAUCAUUAUGUCAAAUUGUCCCUAUAUUGUGGAUUUUUCAGUUUUUCUCAUUCUAUAGAAGUUGAAAAAUGAUUACAAGCCUGCAUUGAUUUGAUGAGAUUUAUGCUUCUUUGGGUACAGAUGAACCAAGAAGGUCACAGUUAGAUUGGUCUACUCGCCACAACAUUAUUUGUGGGAUUGCUCGAGGAAUUUUAUAUCUUCAUCAGGACUCCAGAUUACGAAUCAUCCACAGAGAUCUUAAGGCAAGCAAUGUUCUACUAGAUGCCUCAAUGAACCCUAAAAUUUCAGAUUUCGGCAUGGCUAGAAUAUUUGGAGUAGACCAAAUUGAAGCCAACACAAACCGUGUUGUUGGAACGUAGUAAGUUUAUCCUUAUUUAAUGAAUUAUAUUAGAAAAUAAUAUAAGAUUAUUUUUAGAAUUUUAUCUAAUAAUUCAAGUUUUUUAGAUAAAUUAAUUUUUCGACAUAAUAUUAGAAUUUUAAUUAUUUUAUCUAAUUAAAUUAAUAAAACUAAGAACUUAUACAAGUUUUAAAUGUUAAAAAAUAAUAUAAAAUUAUUUUUAAAAUCUUAUAAAAUUAUUUUUAUUUAUAUUUUUCUGAACAGCUGACUUUAUUAAGCUCUUCUUUUCCUAUGUUAUUGCAGUGGUUAUAUGUCACCAGAAUAUGCAAUGCAAGGCUUAUUUUCAGUAAAAUCCGAUGUAUAUAGUUUCGGGGUUUUGCUAUUAGAGGUCGUCACUGGGAGAAAAAACAGCCAUUUUUAUGAUGAAAGUAACUCUUCGAACUUGGUUGGAUAUGUAAGUAAUAAGAUCACAUAUACAUAUAUUGCCGAUUUUAAAAUUUCAACUCCAACAUAGCAUACUGAUGUGAAAUUUCUUUAGGUUUGGGAUCUAUGGAGAGAAGGCAGGGCCCUGGAACUAGUGGAUACAUUGAUGGGCGACUCGUAUCCUGAAGAUCAAGUCUUAAGGUGCAUCCAAAUUGGUCUUUUAUGUGUGCAAGAAUCUGCGAUGGACCGACCAUCAAUGUCUGAUGUUGUUUUCAUGUUGAGUAAUGACACAACUCUUCCAUCGCCCAAGCAACCUGCGUUUAUUAUGAAGGAGAGUUACUAUAGUGGAGAUCCAUUAACAAGUGAAGGAUCACAUUCUAUAAAUGAAGUGACAAUCACCAUGCUUGGACCUCGGUAGAGGCUUACAUAUAUCUGACGUUCUACUUUUAUUUGUUAAUAUUAAUGUGUAUUGAUAUUAUGAUAGCUUUUACGAUAAUAUUUUAAAAAUUAGGUUUAAAGUGGAAAUAAAAAAAUAUUAAUUAUAAUGUAUGUUAAUUAACUAAAUAUUUGUACAACUUUAAUAAAAAUAAAAUACAAAUUUAAUCACACCAUAUUGUUAUACCAAGUGGAUCCUAGUAGAAGUAGCAUGGUAGUGAAAUAUUAUUUAUUACAUUUCUAAGCUCUAAGCAUGUGGAACCAAGUAGUGUAGUUAUUCUUUAAUUAACCGACAAUGUAGAUAAAGAUGUUUCAAUAGUCUCCCAAUUUAAAUUAUCUUCAUCAAGAAAGCUAAGUUUUUUACAAAUCUACUCAUUUAAUAAUUUAAUGUUAUCAAGGCCAAUGUGAUCUAAAAUAUCUUGUUUUUUUUUGUUUAAAUUCUUACAAAGUACAAACAUUAAAAAAAAAACAAUAUGAUUGUUAUCAAAUAUAUUAGUGAUAAAUUCAAUUUUUGAAAAUAGUAUAUUUACAAAGUAGUUAUAAAAGGUUUAGACAAGACCUAUUUGCAAUAUUAGGUCAAUAAUCAUGCCAAUUGUAAUAUAUUCUUCCACUGCAUGAAGAACAAAAACAUUCAUUUUCCAUGGAGGGACAAGAUGAGGUAAGGAGAUUAGAUAAUAGGUACAAAAUAACUACAUAGAAAAUUAUAAAGUUGUUAUAAUAAUGAGAAACUUAUUGCAUUAAAGCAUUAUUCCUAAAUAUCCUAGUCGAUAUUCUAUUAAGACUUGAUAUUAAUUAGAGUUAUUGAGACUAAUGUAUCUUAUGUUCCUUCCUUUAUGAAAGGAAGAAGUUGCUCUUAUAAACUGAGGUAUGAGAGAUGUAUAUAACUAAUAUAUAGGUGCUUGUAACAUGACAUAUACACUGAACUGACUUGUAAGAAAAUUUUAUAUAGGGAGAUUACUUAUGUCUAUAGAAAGGUUCACGUGAUAAUUAUGUAAGUGAUCUUUAGACUUGAGAUCACUAAUUUAUAUUAUAUAGAGAGUGUUAUGCUUUGAUCCUAACCACACAUUAUCCUAAUCAAAGAUAACAAAUAGGCAAAUAUUAGGUAUGAGAUAUAGUAUUAAAUGAAGGUAUUUAAGUAAUAAAGAGAGGAUUCAUCACUCUAGGUGAAUUAGAAAAAAUAUUACGUAUGAUCUUAAAUAAUAUUGAUUGUGAAACCUUUGGCCAAGAUAGAAUGAGUUUUGAAAAAAAUUUCAGAAUUUUACUCAAAAAAUUAAUGAUUAUAAUGUUGAGAACUAACAUGAUUUAACAAAGCAGAAUAGUUCAUGUUAUAAUGUCUAAAUCGAAACAUUUAUGAUAAAUUAAUGAAUAAUAAUUACACUGCAACAAUGGUGCAGGGUUCGUCAAGGUGGAAAACGUGAAGGUACCAGAUCCUUCAACUGCCCGUGAGAAUAACAAUUUGGAUCUGAAAGCAUGCAUGUAGCAAUGCUUGAGGAAUUGUUCCUGCACAGCCUACGCAAGUUCAGUUGUGACAAGUAAGAGUGGGUGCUUCUCAUGGUAUGGCAAUUUGCUUGAUACAAGAGUGUUCGCUGAGGGAGGACAGGAUUUAUAUGUCCGUGUGGAUGCGUUUGAGUUAGGUACCUUCAAAUCUUAUUGUCAUUAUAUAUCUUUGCUGCAUUUUUCAACAACAGCUUAAACUUUAAUACAACUUAGAUAGAGGAUUUUCAGAACAAAAAAUAUAGACAUCUGAAAUAAAAAUUACGGGUACAAGUACAACGGAAGUACCAGGGACAUUUCUAAUAUGGCUAAACCCUCCCCUGCACUUACCUACUAUCUUUCUGCAAUAUGCACCCUUACUGAUAAUCCUGAUGAUUUGGUAUCGCGCUAAUGUGGAUUUCUUUCUUUCUCCAGCUCAAUAUGACAAGAAGUCUAGAGGUUUUCUUGCAAAAAAAGGGAUGUUAGCCGGCUUGGUACUCUCUAUAGCUGCUGCGGUUUUCUUUGUCAUUAUGUUCUCAUUCUGGUUGAUAAAAAGGAAGAAGACGGGUAAGAGAUUAUUUUUUCAACUUUGUUACCAAUAUAAGUGGCACCAAAUUAGUUGAACUAAAGAAUUCUAACUUUAAGUCUAUGCAUAUAGGAGAUGAUAGUCUGCAAAAUGCAGUGUAAUCAACAUUAGCACUUGUUAGUACUUUUAAAAGCUGAUUUUGAGUUCUUUCAACGAUAAACACAGCUAAGGGCAGACAACUCAAAUUUCCCUUCAAUAUCCCUUCAACACAGCUAAACAAGCCUCAAUGGCUCUCUAAGUGGAAAGGAAGUUGGUGGAAGUAGAACAAGUGAAUACGUACCAGUCUUCGACAUAGAUAUCAUAUUAGAAGCCACAGAGAGUCGAAUUUCUCCAACAAGCUUGGAUAUGGUGGUUUUGGCUGAGUUUACAAGGUACCUUUCCUUGGACAUGAAAUUAUUUCAGAAUUCUAUGUACUUGUAUCAAAAGUUAACAUGCAUUAAAUAACAUUUUAAUGUUGCAUGAUUAGACCAUGAUACUGGAAAAUCGCAGAGGCUGGUGCCAAAGAAAUUCUAACCAGGGAAGAUGAUGGAAAUGGAUGGAAUUAUGGAUAGAUGAUGGAAAUGGAAAGGUGGAGAUGGAUAGAUGUAGGACAGAUGAUGUUCAAUCCUUUAGAGAUACAGAAAUCACCACUCUAAAGUGAAUGAACAAAGAUUAAACUCAGAAUUGUCAAUAAUACAGUCACGCCCCAAAGAGAUUAGAGUUUAGGAUAGCUCACCACUCCGUGAAUUCCACCAAAGAGAUACAGAACUAAACAUAAACCUAACCAGCUCACUUUGAUUUUGGCUUCACCAUUUCUCUAUAUCUAUUCUAGAUUGUUGAACACUCUUAUUUAUACUUGGGACAAUACGUGCAAGUUAGGAAAACAUCAAACAAGAAAUUCUAAAUCUAAACACUUUUUCCAUCUAGCCGAAGUUGUAGUAGACGCGGGACACAUAUCGAGCAUAAGAAAAAGUCUGGAAGAGUCAAACGUUACGGGGUCAGCCCAAAUUAGAUCUAGAAGAUGAUAUUUCAGAUUAUUCUUAAUUAUAUCUACUUGUUUUCAGAUUCCUUUCUACUUAUAUUCAUGAUUUUUGUUUGACUUGAUUUUAAAAGUAUACUGGUCGAUUUUACAGUCUUUCUCUACGGUUUAGGAUUAUAUUUUUUUAAAGUUUACGAAACCUUAAUUCUCUAUCUUUGCUACAUACUUAAUCAGUAGGUAAGGCUGAUGACAUUUAAGAGAGUUGGAGGGAAGAUUGUCCAGGCUUAUUGAAUGUUUAUUGACAAAACCAGGCGCGGCAUUGCAUGCUGUUAAAUAUCGUAGAAAGAUCACGGUUCUGUUGACAGCAUGCACCCUUGUCAGUAAAACAACCAUAACUCUUGCUAGAAAGCUCCGAAUCUUUCACUGUUCGAUGUGUUUGAAACUAGACACGUAUAUCUUUCUAGGGAUACAUGGCUUGCUCAGUAUUUCUCUUUGUGUUGAUGCAGUUAUACGUUUGAAUUUGAAACUGAAAUCUGGCCCUGUUGCGAGCAUUCUUGGCUUUGUUGAUUUCUUUGGGUUAAGAUCAGGCUCUUUUAGGCUUUGUUCAAAAUCAUCUAAUCCAAAUUUAUUAGUGGAUGUAAUUAUGGGAUUUACUAGGAAUUCUCCCGCAUCAGACCAACUUUGGCAGAAUGUGAUUAGCUUAAGUUGUAUUAACUUGUGAGUUAAACAUGGAAUGUAAUUUCAGGGCAAGCUAGGCAAUGGACAGGAAAUUGCAGUUAAGAGAUUAUCUAAAACUUCAGGGCAAGGGAUGAAGGAGUUUAUGAAUGAAGUAAGGUUGAUAUCUAAACUCCAGCACAGAAAUCUUGUCAAGCUUUUUGGUUGUUGCAUUCAUGAAGAGGAAAAGAUGCUGAUAUAUGAGUAUUUACCAAACAAAAGCUUGGAUUUUUUCAUCUUUGGUAUGGCUCUCUUCAUCCAUUUUUGUUUCUGUGUUCAAAGGGAAGAGUCCCCUGAUUAUACAGCUUCACUUUGAUCAAAUUAAAAUAAAUGAUUUCGGGGCAAACCUUUAAUGUUUAAGUGCAGACGAGACAAAAAGGGUGCUCUUGGAUUGGAGAAAGCGUUUUGAAAUUGUUUCCGGGAUUGCUCGAGGGGUUUUAUACCUUCAUCAAGAUUCAAGACUAAAAAUUAUCCACAGGGAUCUCAAAGCCAGCAAUAUUCUACUAGAUGCUGCAAUGAACCCAAAAAUUUCCGAUUUCGGUAUGGCAAGAAUGUUUAUGGAAGACCAAGUCCAAGGAAAAACCACUCGUGUGGUCGGAACAUAGUAAGUAACCUGAUUCUUUCCUCUCUCCAGUGAUCCAUCAUGAUCAAAUACCAACAAGCUUCAUCUUUUAUGAUUGUAGCGGCUACAUGUCACCUGAGUACGCAAUUCAGGGACAGUAUUCGAUAAAGUCAGAUGUCUUCAGCUAUGGUGUCUUAACACUGGAGAUCACAAGUGGCAGGAAAAAUAGCGACUACGGUGAGAGAGAACCCUGGCUGAAUCUUAUCGGACAUGUAAGCGGAUCGAUAAAUUUCUUGAUAAUAUCUUAGGUGAUUGUCUUCCUCUUAGAUUCUUUUCUCGAUUAUCUUCUUACUUGUUUCAUGUAUGGGACUUAUGGAGAGAAGAAAAGGCAUUAGACAUAGUUGGUCCAAUGCUGGAACAGUCAUGCCCUCUUCAUGAAGUUCUUAGAUGCAUUCAGAUUGGGUUACUGAUAGGUCCCAACACAGAUAAUGAAGUGUUUAAUAAAAAUAAUGCAUUGCUUUCUCUUCAGGUGAGAAUAAACCUUUGUUCUGAAAUUAAUUGAUUACCACUAAUGACAACUGUGGUUGCUUAAAUAGCAAGACCACGUACUCAUAGACUGAAAUAUAAUUGCAUGAAAUAAAAGUAACUAAGAUAGUGCCAGUUCUGUCAUCACAUUUGCACGUCACAUUUGCACGUAAUGUUUCCCACGUAUUAUAUUCAACUGCCAACCAGCAUUCCCCACUCUGAACUCUGGACGUCAUGGCCUGUAUGCACGAUUAAUUACGUGCUGUAAACAUCUUGAAGUAUUUGGCAUUUGGCUUAAGUCCUCUCUUUGAACGACGUGGUCUAUCAAUACCGCCCCCAAUAAGUGGAACCUUGUCCUCAAGGUUCAGAGCCGGAAAUUUCUCCUGUAACAGAGCAGUGGGCUCCCACGUGGCAUCGUCAACAGGCAAAUUUUUCCAUUGAACUAAGCUUUCCGCUACAAGAUGACGUCCCUGUUUGUGCCAGCGAGAAUCCAACAUAGAUUGCGGUUCAAGAAGCAGCUCACCCGCAUCGGUAAUAGGUGGAAUGUCAACUGAUCGUGGUUCAAAAAUGUUGGCUGUAUUCUGGUAGCGCUUUAACAGUGAAACAUGAAACACUGGAUGAAUGCGUGCUUCGGAUGGUAACUGUAAACGAUAGGCGACCUGUCCGAUUUUUUCAACAAUUUGAUAUGGUCCGUAAUAACGAGUAGCCAGCUUGUGAUGGACCCGUUUGAAGACUGACUGUUGGCGAUAUGGAUGCAGUUUGAGAAGCACCCAAUCACCGGCAUGAAAGAUGACAUCCCUCCUCUUUGUGUCAGCAAUCUGUUUCAUGCGAUUCCUCGAUCUAGCUAAGUUAUCCUUCAAUUGACGAAGUAGAGCAUCGCGGUCCAGGAGCUGUUGGUCAACUGCACUUACUGGCGUCAGACCCUCUUUGUAGACAUGAAUAGCUGGAGGUAGGCGUCCAUACAACGCCUGAAAUGGUGUCAUACCAGUUGAAAUAUGGUACGUGGUAUUAUACCAGUACUCUGCCCAAGGUAAAUAAGAACACCACUGCUUUGGCCACUGAUGAACAAAACAUCGUAAAUACUGCUCCACACACCGAUUAAUGACCUCCGUCUGGCCAUCCGUCUAUGGAUGGUAUGCUGAACUGAGUCGAAGCUUGGUGCCUGACAUUUUAAAAACUCUUGCCAGAAAUGACUGAUGAAAAUAGGAUCCCGAUCACUAACAAUGGAUUGCGGCAUUCCAUGGAGCUUAAUAACGCCAUGAACAAAUUUUUCUGCCAUAGUUUUUGCAGUAAAUGGGUGACGUAAAGUGAGAAAAUGAGCAAACUUACUAAGUCUGUCAACAAUCACCAUGAUGGUGUCCCUGCCAUGCGAUAUUGGCAAUCCUUCAAUAAAAUCCAAGGUGAUAUCAUCCCAAACUUGACAUGGAAUAGGCAGUGGUUGAAGAAGUCCCGCUGGAGCCAAUGUCUCUAUCUUGGUCUUUUGGCAAAUCUCACAUUCUUGGACAUAUGUGUGCACUGCUUCAUACAUGCCAGGCCAAUAGAAUUGUUGGUUGAGCUUUUUAAAUGUACGUAGAACUCCGGAAUGACCGCCCACCUUGGUGUUAUGCAUUUCAUGUAGCAGUGUAGCUCGUAAAUUUGCAUCGUUUGGUACCACGACCCUCCCCUUGUAUAAUAAUAGCCCAUCACGCCAUGUAAAUGCACUGUCAGGUUGAGCAUCAAUUUUAUGACCCAUGGACUGAAUGUAUUGGUCCUGUUGUGAGGCUGUCUUAAUCUCUUGCCAGACACUAACCUGCGAAGUAAAAAUGUGAUGUAAAAUUGGACUCCCUUGUUUUCUGGACAAAGCAUCAGCAGCUGAGUUCUCACGGCCUGUGUUGCUACCCAAUUUUUGACCCAUGUUUUUGAUAUAUUUUCAAAAAAAAUCCAAAAAUAGAGAAAAACAAAGAAAAUCAAAAAAAAUAUGUUUUUUUAAUAUAUUUUCGUAAUUUUAGCAUUUUCAACGUCGUCUAAAAAAGAAUUUAAAUUUUUAAGGGUCUUUCGAACGCGUUCGACUUUUCACGCGUUAUUUUUUAAAAUCAUUGAUUUUCCGUAUUUGAGUCGACGUUGAUAUUGCUCGUUUUCAAAAAAAUACAAAAAAACAAGAAAAAUCAAAAUUUUACAAAAAAAGAAAGUUGACCAAUUUUUGAAAACUUGGCAAUAUUUUUUGCCUAUAAAUACUAGUCUUAAACUCACAUUCAAGGAGGGGUUUUCAUUUUUGCAAGGGGGCUAAUUUUGGAAACACCAGAAAAAUAAAAAAUAAAAAAAAACCUAAACCUAUCUUCUCCCCCCACUUUUUUUCAAACAGUCGCCGGCCCCCCUUAGUCCAAGACCAUUAUUUUUCCAGCUGAAAAUCAGCAACUCAGCCCCCACCCAGGUCUUCUUUUCCUGGUUUUCCACCGACAAUGGAGGCCCCUUCUCACACUGAAAACUUGCCAGCCCGAUGAAUUACUAGGUGGCGACUCCAACGAACAAAUUCAAAGCAAACGCAAAAACAAGAAAAAUUGCCAGCCCGAUGCCGCGCGCCGGAUGGAUUUUUUUUGGGGUGCGACAGGAUGGCGACUCCACUGGGGACAAGUAUUGUUUUCAACUUUAUCGGACUAAGCUUUGUGUUUUGAUGUGUUCAAUUUUUUUUGUGCUUUGUUUUAUUUAUUUGUAUUUUAUUCAUGCAUUGUAAAUAUUUUCUCUCAUGCAUCACAAGUUUUAAUUUUUGAAAGCACACACCAGCUUUAGGUUAGGUGGGGGACUAGCAGCUUGCCUUAUGACUUGAGUCAAGGUUUAAGUUUGUGUAAACCCCAACUCUUUGUUGAGUGCUUAGACUGGUAAUAGUUGGACACGUGCCAACCAAUUACCUACUGGGCCCCUAUAUUGUCUUUACGAAGGCGAUCACUGGGACAACAAGAGACCCUUUUAGAGACCAAGUAGCAAACCUACCCUGUCUCACGUAAAAUGAAUAGAGCCUGCUUUAGGAUGUAUGUGCUAUUGUUUGCAUCGAGCAAACCUUCUUGAAGCAUCUUGAACUCAAGACUUGUGGGUGACACAUUGGCCGUUGCUCCGAAAAUUUUCAUUGUAGAGUUUGGGCAAAAAUCACGAUUCUUGUCCAUCAUACAAGAGUUACGACCAUAUUGUCACCUCUCGAAGGGUGAGUUCAUCAUAUAGAUUACAUGUUCAUACAUUUAUCAUGCAUGUACCGGGUUGAAAGGUAGGUCCCCGCACAAGCUGUGCUGCACGUGAUUGAAGAAAUGAUGGAGGUGAAGAAAGUGUCAGAUAGAGGCUCAUUAUCAGAUUAAGUUGAGAGCAUCAAAGGUGAAGUAGCUAGACUCAGAUCUGCUCGAACAAGUGUUGAGCAUCAAAUGGAAAGAGAAUGUCUGCACAGUCUUCUGUGGGAACACUGCUUGUUCACGUCCAAUUGAAGCUGCUCUCCUUUUCAGUCAUGAACAACAACAACAACGCCUUCAGUCAUCAACUAAUGACAACUCUGGUUCUUGUCCAGUUGCACUGUUAAGUGUUCAUCGCCUCCACAUCAUCUAAUGGAACCAAACGACUACUAGCCUCCUGUACAUGGUGCAUUAGUCUGCUUUGAAGUUACCCCGAUUAUGAGCUCAAUUCCAGUUCAGCAGCACAAGAUGGUCUGAAAAACCAUGAUUGAACACUGAACUUCAAUGUGGCAGAGCUCUCUCUACAAAAAUCCAUUUAUGGCUCUGCAAAUUGGGAAUGCAAGAGGGGAUUUAUAAGUUGCAUAUGCUACAAAUAUUUCUCUCAUCAGUUUCAGCACGAAGACCUCUUAGUAGGUUGAAGAGCCAGACCUGGUCUGAAAAAUAUGAGCAGACAUCAAACUUCAACGUAGCAGAGCUCUCUCAGCAGGAAUCUGUUUGUGGAUCCGCAAGUGGGAAAUCCAAGAAGGAAUACAGUAGUUUCAGAUCAUCUAUGAUUUUCCUCCAACAGUGUCAGUAUUAAAACGCAAAAGUAGAGAGAAGAGACAUGCCUAGACUGAAAAACAUGAAGAAUACUGAAACUUCAACAGAGCAGGACUUCCUCUAUAGGUGUUUGUUUGCUGCACUGUCAGUGAGAAAUCGAAGAGGGGACAAAGGAGUUUUAGAUUCAUCAGGUGCUCUUCCAAUAGAGACAAUGUGUGAUUCCACACGUCGGUAGUGGCGAUACUACAAGUUUCUGGGCGCUGCCAAGAUUACCAAGCUGUUGGAAAGUUUUCUAACAAUCCUCAACCAACCACAACAACAUUGGAAGAUUGAAAUGAUGUUGUGAGGAUUUGCCGAAGAAUUGAACAAGCUAUGAAGAGAGCAAAGAUUGAAGGAUCUGCCAUGGAUUCUAGAACAAUGAUGAGAGGUGAAUCAGGAGAUGACUUGACGGUGUGAACCCUUAAUUAUGUGGUAUAGCCAGGUCUCACGGUAGCAUCAAUUGCUCAAAUGUCUUUGCCAAGAUGGGACAUUCCUCUGCCAUUUAAGUUUGUCGACCAGCAUCUGCCAGAUUCCAGAAUUUUGCUUGACUCCGACAAAUCCAUGCAACCACCAUUUUCUAGGUGGUAUAAUCCAGAUAAGAGAUGUGAUGUCAUGGUGGGGUCCUCAACCAUUUCAAGUGAACAGUUUCAAGAAUUGCAAGAAUUGAGUCUGAAAGUUGGUGAGCAAGAGACAAGUGGAGUCGGUGAAGGAGGGUGUCAUUGGCUAUAUUGUCCCCGAACAUCUUCAGAAUGACAUGUUGAUCGAAAGUGCUUGGCAAAACACAAAUAUUGCCAGAAAAGCUGAUUCAAGAAUGGUGAUGAACAGUCAAUCAUAUUGUUUUGGAAUUCUGCAUUUUGUUUUGGGAUCACAUCUCAUCCUUCAACGAAACAUGCCUUGCUUUUGUCUCUUUGUUGUUUUGAAAUCAACAGAUGUUUAACAUUUUUUCUGACAAAAUAUUUUGAUCAAACUCCAACAUGCGAUAAAGGUUAAUCAAUCCUGAAGAUUAAAAGUGUUUUGAUUACAGAAAUGACUCGAUUUUGUUGAAAUGACAUGAGGUGACCAAACAAUUUUGAACUCAUACCUUUGAAACUGAACCACACAUCAUAUAGCUAAGUUUUAGCAGUAUGCAUAAUGACAUGUAGUGGUUUCGGUAGUUAUGGACUCGUGAAUCAUGACUUACAAGUCCAAAUCAUUACACUAGAUGAGGUCAAAAUUUAUCGGUUCUAACCGACCUUGCUUGAAAUGAGAAAAGGCCAUCUUUGAUAUCCUUCACUUUCUAAAAAUUAUCUCCUUGUAGUCCCAUUUUGAGCUGGAUAGAAUAUUUUUUCAAAAAACCCUGACUAGGAUCACACCCCACACUGGGGGCAAAUGAGAAAUAUUUUGGAGACAUGAUAAAAUCAAUGGAUCAAAGAAAAGCUUAGAACAAAAGUCCAAUGUUUGAGAAAGGGCUAGAAGAAGAAAAUCCAUAGAUUGAGGGCCAUCCAAGAAAAACUUUGAGGAAAUGAAAGAAAAUGCCUAUCAAUUCUAAGAGAGGCAAGACAGUUUUCAAUUGAGAAAAGACAAUAAAUGCCAAAAGUCAACACUAGAAAAAUCGAUGCUUCAUAUCUUUUGGUGUGUCUGGAUAAGCCUCUAAUGUCUUCAAAAUUAGAUUAGUUAUUCAUCAAAGAAAAGUUGGAUUAUGACCUAUGUUAAGAGAAUUCUGAUAUUGAAGAUUAACAAGGUUAUAUGUCACUUUCUCUACAAUGACAACAAGAGAAAGAGAAUCGAUGAAUAGUUAAUGUUGGUCCUAGGUCGUUGAAACCCUCAAACACCUUUUGAGCCUUGAAUUCCUUUCUUUCAUAGCCAUGAACCAUAGCCUGCAUUACGUGCUUUUAAAAGCCCUUUUUAAUCAAGCAAGCAAUUGAACCAUAAAUGGCGCUCUCAAAACUUGAAGAGUUUUUCCAUAAGGGUCGUGACUUCAUGAAUUAAGCUACUGGUUAUUAUGCAUGCUGAUAAAAUAAAUGCUAAGAAAAGAAACAACCUUUCUUAUCAAGCCUGAGCAUCUUGUUUUGAAAUUCAUAAAAAUGUCACCUCAUCACAACCAUCAAAAGAUAUACCCAAAAUCAGAGUUUAAAAUGGACACAAAGAACCAUGGGAAAGACAUUUUAAAUCUUACAACGGGUCAUUUCUGUUUUCAAAAUACAAGACAAUCAAAGGACUGCAUUGAAUAGUGUGUUGGGUCUUUGACCAAAGAAGUUUGAAUUUCAAAAGAAAAAAAUAACUUCAAAAACAGACAUCUCUCUGAUUUCAUUUCAACAAUUAUACUUGAAUAGACAUGAUCGUUGAAAUGUUGAGAUUUGAUUCCAGAACAAGAAAGAUUUUCAAACAAGAACAUCAAUUGAGUUUGCAAAAUUCUUGACAAAAAUGACAUCAACAUUUCUCGACACUCCUUGAAACGUUGACCACCUAGGGGCAAUACAGUGGACCUUAAGAAGGAAAGCAAACAGUAUCCAUAUCAGCUGGGGGCAAAGAAAGAAUCCGAUGAUGAGUCGUCAAAGUUAUGUUUAGCAUCUGACAAUGACAAAGAAAAACCUUCUUGAGUAUAAACCGAUGAAUGAACCUUCAGAUCAUACUGGGGCCAAUGUUGUUCAAAGACAAUCCAUGAUCUAGUGCACUUCAGCAGCAAUUGAUGAGCAACGCUGCACUAGAAAGAUAUUUUCAUAUCUUCAUCUUAGGUUACUUUGUAAAACAUGGAUAUGACUCCGGACAGAUGUUAUCGGGUGAGUGCAUUUGAUGAACAUCGAACAUAUGCAUACCACAAGAUUUACGAUGGGACCAUCUAUUCUGAAGCUCAAAUGCGCACUUCACCGCAUGAAUAUGGGUGAUAACAUGAACAUCAUUGAUGAUGCCAAAGCAGUAUUUUCACGAUCUGAUUUGACAAGCUAAGAGGAAUCCAUAGAGAAAUACAUCGCGCUUACAAUGAUGAGCUGUUUACUGCAAAGCAUGAGAUCCAUGUCUGGAUGACUUGGCAGUUCCAUGAAGGCUGGUGACCAUACAUACUUGAAUGGUGUUUCAACCGAAGGCAAGUUCAUGACUGAUUAACAAACGUGAUGGGUGUUGGCAUGAUGCACACAAUCAAUCAGAGGAUAAUUCUCAGAAGAAUCCAGGAGAGAAAAUCUUCAUGAUGAAUCAAGCAUACACACUUGGGGGCAGGGUCAAGCUUGAUGAACGAUGCAAGCAGUAAUUGUCGAAGACAGCCCGGGAUGGGCACUGCAUUUACAGCUGAGUGGAUGGCUACACAUGAAUGAGCCAAUACAUCGGAAGAACAAAGAAAGCUUUGGGAUACAAACAAGGGCACCCUAUGACGAUGGAGCAUCAAAGAGGGGGACCUAUAUUUCAAAUCAGGUAAGGAUGCAUGCAUAUCAUCUAACCUAAAAAAAAAAAAAAACCAUUUGCACAUAUUUUUGAAUUGUUACAGGAAAAUCCUUAAUGAGGUCCAGCAAGAUGGUGGAAAAGAAAGAAGCAUUGUGGUGAUGAUAAUAAAGAAUCGGUUUUGAUCAUGGAAUAAAAGGACGAUGGGAUGAACCCUACCAUUAGGAAAAUCCCAAAGAAAUGAAUAGAUCAACCUUGCAAUCGGGAAGCCUCGAGUUCUCAACCCUUGCAGUCAGGAAACACCGAGUUUUUUUUUCAAACCCUAUGAUCGGGAAUUAUCAGGGAGCACCAAGUUUUCCAGCCCUUCUUCUAUCAUCCCCUCAGGACUUCGCCAGGUAAGUCCUAUUUUUCACACUUGUCAUAUCACAUUUUUUCCAUCUGGGUAGGUCACCCAUUACAAUGAGACCACACUUCAUAUUUUUCCAUUUCUGGGUAGGUCACCCAUUACAAUGAGACCGCACUUCACAUUCUUUCUAUCUGGGUAGGUCGCCCAUCACAACGAGACCACUUCAUCAUAUUUUUUCCAUCUGGGUAGGUCAUCCAUUACAAUGAGACCGCACUUCAUAUUCUUUCUAUUUGGGUAGGUCGCCCAUCACAACGAGACCACUUCAUCAUAUUUUUUCCAUCUGGGUAGGUCACCCAUUACAAUGAGACCGCACUUCACAUUUUUUCUAUCUGGGUAGGUCGCCCAUCACAACGAGACCACUUCAUCACAUUUUUUCCAUCUGGGUAGGUCACCCAUUACAAUGAGACCACAGUUCACAUUUUUUCCAUCUUGGCUAGGUCACCCAUCACAAUGAGACCAUCAUCUUUUCUGGGUAGGUCACCCAAAGAAUGAGACCAUUCUCCAUUUUUUUUACCUGGGUAGGUCACCCAUAAGAAUGAGGCCAUUCCUCUCCCUGGGUAGGUCACCCAAAGAAUGAGACCACUCUUCCUCUUUCCACUUGGGUAGGUCACCCAUCACAAUGAGACCACCAUUUUUUCUGGGUAGGUCACCCAUUAGAAUGAGACCAUUCUCCAUUUUUUUUUUACCUGGGUAGGUCACCCAUAAGAAUGAGGCCAUUCCUCCCCCUGGGUAGGUCACCCAAAGAAUGAGACCACUCUUCCUUUUUCCACUUGGGUAGGUCACCCAUCACAAUGAGACCACCAUUUUUUCUGGGUAGGUCACCCAUUAGAAUGAGACUAUUCUCCAUCUUUUUUUUUACCUGGGUAGGUCACCCAAAGAAUGAGGCCAUUCUUCCCCCUGGGUAGGUCACCCAAAGAAUGAGACCACUCUUCCACCUUUUCACUUGGGUAGGUCACCCAUUAUAAUGAGACCACUUUUUACAUAUUUUUUUGUUCCAGUUGAAUGAGGUCGCCAGAUGGGAUCUCAUGUAGCUUUGGUUAAAGGGAAUCUCCAUAUGGGAUUUCAGAUUGACCGAGUUACACACAUUCUUUGGUUUUGGUUAAAGGAGGUCGCCAGAUGGGAUCUCAGGAUAAUAAAAAAAAAAGAAAAAAAAAAGGGAAGAUUGCUGAUGAAGUGGAUAUUGAGCAAACAGAAAGACAAGUUUUUCUUUACAAAGCUUACUAUGCAAAACAUCGAGGAUUUUUGCUUCGUAAGCAUUCUAAAGAAGGGGCAUCUGUUGCUACCCAAUUUUUGACCUAUGUUUUUGAAAUAUUUUCAAAAAAAAUCCAAAAAUAGAGAAAAACAAAGAAAAUCAAAAAAAUAUGUUUUUUUAAUAUAUUUUCGUAAUUUUAGCAUUUUCAACGUCGUCUAAAAAAGAAUUUAAAUUUUUAAGGGUCUUUCGAACGCGUUCGACUUUUCACGCGUCAUUUUUUAAAAUCAUUGAUUUUCCGUAUUUGAGUCGACGUUGAUAUUGCUCGUUUUAAAAAAAAUACAAAAAAACAAGAAAAAUCAAAAUUUUACAAAAAAAGAAAGUUGACCAAUUUUUGAAAACUUGGCAAUAUUUUUUGCCUAUAAAUACUGGUCUUAAACCCACAUUCAAGGAGGGGUUUUCAUUUUUGCAAGGGGGCUAAUUUUGGAAAUACCAGAAAAAUAAAAAAUAAAAAAAAACCUAAACCUAUCUUCUCCCCCCACUUUUUUUCAAACAGCCGCCGGCCCCCCUUGGUCCAAGACCAUUAUUUUUCCAGCUGAAAAUCAGCAACUCAGCCCCCACCCAGGUCUUCUUUUCCUGGUUUUCCACCGACAAUGGAGGCCCCUUCUCACACUGAAAACUUGUAUUUCUUCUCAUCCCCAGCUUUGCAAAAGAAAAAAAAAUGAUGGGAGCCAUUUUUCGGGUCCCGGCAGUAGGGGGCAGCACCCACAGUCCCCAGUCCCGUUGGAGAUUUUCUUCUUCUCCCCUACAGCCGCUCACCCAAGGGAGCCCCUUAGCUCUUUGAUUUUCUUCCCCCCCUCAGCAGCCGGUUUUCACUACUCCCCUUCAUCACCAUUUUUUUUUUCCUUCUUCCCCAACACAGCCACACCGCCAGCCCUCUCACCCAAUCUCUCCAACACGCAGCCGCCUACACACAGACCCACCCCCCGGCCAUUUUCGUUUCUCUUCUCCCCAACAACAACCACAAAUCAGCUCCCUCCUCCACAGAUCCUCCCUCUCAGCUGCUCCCUUUGCUCUUCGCAGCUCUUGAGCCGGCCACCCUUGGCCACAAAAGAAAAAGCAGCCGCCACCCGAAGACCAGUCUCCGGUGUCCCUCCUCUUCUGCUCCCAGACCGCCGCUGAUCUCCCCACGACCGAAGAACCCAGCUCAGCCCCACGCCGGACAGAGACCAGCGCCGUCCCCCUUGAUCUCUUCCACAACAACCCGGUCGGCAGCGGAUCCAUCCCAUCGCCACAGUAGCUUCAGCGGCCACGGGCGACCUGCAACCGGCAGAGAACCCCCACAGAGAAGAAGGCGAAACCGAGAGGGGGGGGCAGAUCCAAAACGACGAAGGAAGAAAGAACCAAAAACAGAUUUGAAACCAAAGAAAAAUUUAAAAUCUACUGCUGUUUGUGCGUUGUUUCCCUUGUUGUAGGUGGCGGUGACCUCCACCGCCGGCGUGGGAAGACGGAGUAGAAGAAGACAUCCCGGACCCCUGUUCUUUUUUUUGUUUCUCACGGCGGCGCGUGAACCCACGCACCGCCAGUGGCGGUUGCACGUGGGGAGACACGCCGCCAGUGUUGUUCCGUGGUGCAGAUGGGCUUCAAUGCAAUUCUGGAGUUUUUAGGGACCAUUUUGUAAAUUUUAAAGUUUUAAUGUAAUUUUUGUUUAUUUAUUUUAAAUUUGUAAUAGUGAAUGUAAAAGAAAAAGAAGAAAUAAAAGAAAAUAAUAAAAAGAGAUGUGUGCUUGUUUGUAUUUUUAUUUAUGUUAUUAAAUUGUAAAAAUAAAGAAGGAUAAAAAGAAUUAAUUGUUAAUUUAAAUAUCGAUUAAAUAUCUUAAGGAUAAAUAAAAUCAAGUUGUAUUUUCCACGAAAAUGUAAGAACAAGUUUUUUUACAUAUAUUCGGGGAUUCAAUAACUGAUUUAUUCAAGCCUUAGAAUUUAAUUAAUAUUUUAAAUUUUCUUAAAUAUGGUUACAUAUUUCAAGGACAAAUAAAAUCAAGUUGUAUUUUCCAUGAAAAUGUAAGAACAAGUUUUUACAUAUAUUCGGGGAUUUAAUAACUAAUUUAUUCAAGCCUUAGAAUUUAAUUAAUAUUUUAAAUUUUCAAAUCACAUUAGAACACAAUGCAGCUUACCUCAGGUAGGGUGUGUUAGGGGUGCUAAUACCUUCCCUAACCACAACCAGUCCCUUACCCGCGAUCUCUGACAAGACUAGUACAUCAGGUUUCCUAGUAGCCCUCAAUGAAUUACUAGGUGGCGACUCCAACGAACAAAUUCAAAGCAAACGCAAAAACAAGAAUAAUCGCCAGCCCGAUGCCGCGUGCCGGAUGGAUUUUUUUUGGGGUGCGACAGCCUAGACGAUAGAUGAUUUCAUAGUCAUAACCCAUUAGCUUAGCAACCCAUUUCUGCUGUUCUAGAGUAGCUAUCCUCUGUUCUACAAAAUACUUGAGACUACGCUGAUCAGUUUGAAUGUAGAAUUUCUUGCCGAGAAGAUAAGGACGCCACAAUCUGAUAGCUUCCAAAAUUGCCAACAUCUCUUUAGCAUAUGUUGACCAUGAUUUCUUUGUGAUACCGAGGGCCCUGCUCAUGUACGCCAGCGGCUUGCCAAGUUGAGUGAGGACUGCACCUAUGCCAUCUCUAUAAGCAUCGGUGUCAAUGGUAAAUGCUUCGUUGAAAUUAGGCAUGGCCAAUAUGGGAGUAGUUGUCAUGGCCCGCUUGAGAGCAAGGAAAGCGGCUUCAGCUGCAUCAUUCCAUUGAAAUUGAUUCUUUUUGAGCAGAUUGGUAAGAGGCUGAGCAAUAACACCAUAGUUCUGAAUGAAUUUGCGAUAAUAUCUUGUCAAACCAAGAAAACCACGUAAAUCUGAAAACGUUAGUAGGCCGUGACCAUGCCACCAUAGCAGUAAUCUUGCUAUCAUCCACUUUGACACCAUGAUCGGUGAUAAUAUGUCCCAAAUAUUCAAGUUCGUGCUACCCGAAAGCACACUUGCUUUCCUUGACAUAGAACUGAUGCUGGCGUAGUAUUUCAAAUGUCUGUCGGACAUGCAGUAAAUGCUGGUCCCAGGUAGAACUAUAUAUCAAGAUGUCGUAAAAAAAAACCAAAAUAAAUUGACGAAGGUGAUGACGAAAUAUGGAGUUCAUGAUAGCCUAGAACGUAGAGGGCGCAUUACAUAGGCCAAAUGGCAUCACCAAAUAUUAAUAAUGUCCAUUAUGAGUGCGAAAUACAGUUUUAUGGACAUCUUGGGGAUUGACUCGUACCUGAUGAUAACCCGCUCGUAGAUCCAACUUGGUAAAGUAAGAAGCUCCGUAUAAUUCAUCUAACAUAUCCUCAACGGUUGGAAUUGGGAAACGAUCUUUAACAGUGGCAGCAUUGAGAGCUCGAUAAUCAGUACAAAACCUCUAGUUCCCUUCUUUUUUCUUCACUAACAACACAGGUGAUGAAAAGUGACUGGUACUUGGACGAACAAGCCCUGUGGUCAGCAUGUCCUGGACCUGUUUCUCAAUCUCAUUCUUCUGAAAGUGUGCGUACCUGUAUGGCCGAACAUUAACCGGUUCAGUUCCUUCCUUCAACGUGAUUCCAUGGUCAACAACCCUUGUUGGUGGUAAACUAGAAGGAGCAGCAAAUAUAUCUGAAAAUGCUUGCAACAAUUCCUUCAUGUGGGGAUGAACGGUGCCGUCUGAGUAAUUUGAAAACAUAAGGCAAACAAAGCUUGAUUCGGCCGAAGUGUUUGGACAACUCCUGCAGUGAUGUUUCCUGGAUGUCUUGUCUGCCAAUGCCAGUUAAUCGCCUAAGCUUGUUCUCCCAUAAGAAUUCCAUUGUCAGCCUUUUCCAAUCACACAUCACCGAACCCAGUAAUUCAAGCCAUUGAAUCCCCAACACUAUAUCCAGCCCUGUGAGGGGUAAAGAAUAAAGAGUCAAUGAAAAAACAACACCCUGUAGAUUCAAUGAUACCUCGUCAAAUCGCCCCCGACAUUGGAGACUAUCACUAUUGGCAACCUGUACUUUGAAGGGUUCUGUAGGCACCACUGGCAGCCUUAACAGGGUAGCAGUUCGCUCACUAAUGAAGUUGUGAGUAGAACCACUAUCUAUUAAAAUAAUGACGUUGCAGGAGCCAAUCAUAACUGAUACUCGCAUGGUCUUUGGCGCUGUCCAACCUAACAAGGCAUGCAAUGUAAUUGACGGACCUGUAAGCUCCUCAUAUUGCUCAUGAUUUAGGUGUUCGUCAAGAACAUUGUCACAUAACAACGUAUCAGUGUCAUUGCAACCUUCCAACAUAAGUAGGCAUGACCCUUGACACUUGUAACCUGCAGUAAAACGGUCAUUACAAUUGAAACAUAGAUUCUGGGCUCUCCUUCGUUGCAUUUCUUCCCAUGAUAACCGCCUGCUAGGAGUAGUAGGGUUAGACUGUGCGGCUUGGUUGCCAGGCGAAAGAGCCAUAGGUGGCCGCACUGAAGAAACUGGUCUGAUAAACCUCCUCUGACGGGUAAAUUGAUCAUCUUUCAUCCGUGCUAAGCUGAUGGCGUCUUUUAAAGUUUGUGGUUUGAACAUGCGAAUCCCAUCAGAAAUGUCUCUUUUUAAUCCACCCAUAAAUGUUCCCAUAAGAGCUUUUUGGGUCCAACCACGUACAUGAUUGCCAAGACGUUCAAAUUCACGUUGAUAGUCACGCAGCGAUCCUUCCUGACGGAUCCGUGAAAGAGCUUCAUCAAAAUCUUCACAGUCAGAAGGACCAAAUCGAGCCCAGAGUUCACCUUCAAAAUUAAUCCACGAAAGAACACGUCCUUCCUCUUGAAAUGUCCGGCGAAUCCAUUGCCACCACUGGUUGGCCUCUCCUUCCAAGUGAUAGGAAGCUAACGAUACCUUUUGCAUUUCGGGUGUACUUUGGAACUCAAAGAACUGGUUCACCCUAUUAAACCACUCCGUUGGAUCAUCUCCAGAAAAACAUGGAAAUUCAAGCUUCGCUGUUUUAGAAGAGACAACAAGUCGUCCUCCAGUGUGACCGUCACGAUGGGUGUUACCUUGAUUGGUAGACACGUGAUCUGCAAGGAGUACAUCAGAGAGUCGAGUAAUAGUUUCCUCUAAGUGAUGCAAUUUAUCUGUCAUGCCCAUCUCCAUCCGGUGUUCUAACUGUUCGAUACACUCUUUAUUGGUUCCCAUUGCUCUGAUACCAAUGAUAGGUCCCAACACAUAUAAUGAAGUGUUUAAUAAAAAUAAUGCAUUGCUUUCUCUUCAGGUGAGAAUAAACCUUUGUUCUGAAAUUAAUUGAUUACCACUAAUGACAACUGUGGUUGCUUAAAUAGCAAGACCACGUACACAUAGACUGAAAUAUAAUUGCAUGAAAUAAAAGUAACUAAGAUAGUGCCAGUUCUGUCAUCACAUUCGCACGUCACAUUUGCAUGUAAUGUUUCCCACGUAUUAUAUUCAACUGCCAACCAGCAUUCCCCACUCUGAACUCUGGACGUCGUGGCCUGUAUGCACGAUUAAUUACGUGCUGUAAACAUCUUGAAGUAUUUGGCAUUUGGCUUUAAGGCCUCUCUUUGAACGACGUGGUCUAUCAGUUACUGUGUGUGCAAGAAUUUCCAGAUGAUCGACCUACAAUGUUAGAAGUUGUGUUCAUGUUAGGUAAUGAGAUCACUCUUCCUUCUCCUAAGAAGCCAGCAUUUGUUUUACGAACACGCAGUGGACAAGACUUGCCACCAAUGUCUAGAAGAGAAGCUUGUUCUGUAAAUGAAGUUACAGUUACUGUGGUGGAAGCUCGCUGAAAUCCCAGUCUCUUGUAAUAAAUUUUCUCUAACAGGCAUUACAUAGAAGAUGGUUUGACUCAUCAUGGAUGUAUACAUGGCUUGCAAGCAAAACCAUAAAUAAUAAAAAGGAGAAUUUCAUUAUAUAAAUGGUUUUAGACAGUGCCACGUACGUUCUUGAAAAUUAAAAAACAAAAAAAAAAACAAAAAUCUUGGGAGUAGAUGAGAAUUAAAUGCGAAGUUGAUGCCCAGAAAGAGUUUCAAUAAAGACGCCUGUAGGACGGCCCACCUAGGAAAAUCACUCCAUUGGAAGCGUUCACAGGCUGCAAUUUUACAGAAAUUGAUUGUAAAAUUAUAAAAUCAUAAUUAAGAUUUUUCUUAUUGUGUAUAUCUACGCAUGUAGGAUUUUUUUUUUUUUUAUGUUGACAGCGAGGUUGUAAAAAACAAUUUUGGAUAUUACUAGAAAAAUACAAUACAAAUUCAAAAUCAUAGAUUGUAAAAUUAUAAAAUCAUAAUUAAAUUUUUUUAAUUAAUUAUAUAUUGACAAUUCCUCUAUAUUGUCAUAACAGGCCUUGUGUUGUGGUUUAGGAGAAGGCAUUGGGAGACUACGAUGGGAGAAACUGAGAGAGAGAGGGGUUCUGGUUUGGCUUUCUGAAGAUGAUGAGGGGGUGCUGUUCAUGGGUUUUCGAAGAAAGGUGAAGAAGAAGCUGUUGUUGGUGGUUUGAUAUCACUGGUUUUGUUAUGGUGGAGAUGGUUGAGUCUGAGAAGGGAAAUGGUGGAGUCUGAGAAAUUUUCUGUGUUUUGAUUUAUUUUUUUAUCUGCUUCCAACGCUGAAUAUUUUUUUAUCUGCCCCUGGAAAUCUUUGAUCUGCCUCCCCUCUUCUUCUUUUUUUUUCUUUUUGGUUUUUUCCUGUGAGGAAUGUAUUUAUAGUAAAGAGUUUUAAACAAAUAUUUUUUUUAAAAAAAAAUUAUUUAAAAUUUAAAAUUAAAAGAACUCAAAAUAUUCAGAACCUCAUGCAUCAGAGAGUUUCAGUGCAAGCUCUAGACUAGACCGCUGAUCUCUCAAUGAUCAAGAAGCUUCAUUCUCCGUUGAAUCUCAAUCUCUUAGAAAUUAUCCAUUUAACUUUCAUUUAAAAAUAUUUGCCUUAAAAUGACGCUUACUAGUCAAUUGAAUUUUAUUUUUUUUGUGAUACUGAACUUUUGAGCCCAGAAAUUAAGGCGCUUACUUAGUCGAUCAAUUGAAAAUGACAAUACAAAAUAAAAAUCCCGACUCUACUAGAGGUGGUUACUAAUUCCCCAAAGAAUAAGCUGAUCACUAGCCAUCACCAUGCAUCCCUGUAAAAUCACUAGCCAUCAAUUGAAAGUAAGGCGGCUAGUCAAUUGAAAAUCACUAGCCAUCAUCAUGGCUGAUGCAUCCCUGUAAAAUAUUUCUCAUUUCAUUGCUUGAAUGCCUUCUUCUCCAAAUUUUCCUGUCCACAGACAAUGUUAAGUUUUAAUGAGUCUCCAGAGGAGGAAACUUCCCUUCGGGAUAAUCCUAUCAAUGAUACCUCUGGAGUGCUCAGAGUCAAUGGUCAAGAUAACCUCCUCCUAUACGGCAAAAACACCAAGUUAACUAGUCCUGUCUGGUUCACACAUGCUUCAGUCUCAUCACCCAGCAACUCUAUGGCUCAACUUCUAAAUUCAGGAAACCUUGUUCUGACUCAUUCCAAGAGGCAUCAGUCUCAUGGAAAAGUAUUGAUCAUCCUACCAAUACCAUGCUUCUUUUUGCAACACUUGGACGUUUGGAUAGGAAAACUGGUCAACAGGUUUUUAACAUCUUGGAAGUUCCUAAAUGAUUCAGGAACUAGUGAUUUUGCGAGUAUUUAUUUUUAUUAUCAUAUAAUUAAGUAAGAAAUAGUUUAAAAAACAAAGUUAUUAAAUUUAGUGGAGUCCAUGACUCGGUUCACGGGUUAAGAUGCGAAGCCCAACUCGAUUCAAUAUGUCGGUGUCUCAAAAAACAUUUUAUAAAAUGUCAUCUUGAAAUUUGUUUUAAAGUCAAACCAUGUUUUUACAUGUUAUUUGAGUUGCUUUUGAAUACGUAAAGUCGAUUAGGACAUAUUGAGGCAACUUCCACACAAUUUAAUUUGAAACCCCAGUUAAAAGAAAAGUCGAAUCGAAAGGUUUCAUUGUUGACUCACUAAACUGGAUUUAAUAAUAUUGCUAGAAAUUUUCAUGAGGCUUGAAUAUAUUUUUUACAUUAAAAAAAAAUUGAUCCAAGCAAGCUCAACUAAACAUUCCUAACUAUUAAAAUGAAUCUCUUCAUCAUUUAAAGUCAAAGUAGACAAAUAUGCCUCAAUAGUCUCCCAAUUUAAAUCCUCUUUAUCAAGAAAGCUAAGUUCUUCACAAAUCUACUCAUUCAAUAAUUCAAUAUUAUCAAGGCUAAUGAGAUAUAAAGUAUCUUUUUUUUCAUCUUAAAUUCCUACAAAAUACAAACGUAUAGGAAUCUCUCUCCUAAAAUGGUUUAGAAUAUUUCUCACUUGUGGUUCGUGUGAAAUAAUGUUACAGACCAAACAAUUGGACGGCUUGUGAUUUGCGAUAACUCAGCUUUAAGAAACUUUUUCAAAAUAAAUAAAAAAUAUUUAAUCUUCAGGUAAUCUUCGUAUAAAACCUGAAAAACACUAUAUUUAUCUAACAAAAACUUUGGAACUAUCGAAAAAUCUUAAAUUUAUUAUUUACGCUGCCUGUAUGCGUUUUGGGAAACCCAACACAUUCACCAUUUUCUUGUUGUCUUUGCAUGUCAUUGUGUCAUACAUAUUUGAAAUAGUUAUAGCAAGGAAUUGAAAACUAUUUGGGAAUGUAUAGAAGCCAACUAGGGUGCUAUAUGUGUCGGGAUUGUCUUACAUCGAAUUUGUUUUCAAGAAUCAAUAACAUUUUCGUAUCUCACUAGUGAUUUAACAAACUAAAAAUCGACAAGAUUUUUCUUUUAAUACGCAAUCAGCUCACAAGAGUUGUGCAAACUUGGGACCAAAACAAAUCUCACCAGAAAAAAGCAACUAGCAAGAUAGAUAUCUUUUUGUCACAAAACCAAAAUUAACUUAUAUUUUCUUUUUUGCUUGAUCCAUUGCUUUAUAUAUUAAACUCAUAAUUGGUUUCUUAUAUGAAUCAACUAAUUUAAGAACUUUAAUUAGAGGAUAUGUUGCUUUAAUACAUAUAGUGACAUCAUGCUAGAACCUACUAUCCAAAACAUAGUUUUGAAUUUGUUUCCCUUCUUCAAUUCUUGAAAACCUACAUGACCUUCACUAUUUAGAAGUAAACAUAGGCAUUAGCUGUAUUUUAUGAUCAAUCAAACAUCCUAGAAUCAAAUAUGCAGUAGCAAAUCGAGCAGCAGCAGCCCUAAUCAAAUCCUAUCCUUUUGUAAAGUGCCUUAGGAUGAAAAUAAGUAUAGUACUUGAAUAAAUAUAUGAGGUGACUCUCAUUCGCUUAGCAAUAGUUACUUGAUAAACCUCUAGCUUCUUCUCAAAAAUUUUCAAUGUCAAGUCAAUACAAGAAGCAUCACAUGGUGUCCAAAAUAGCUUUUUUUAUUUUUUCCAAUCAAUAAUUGUCCUGUUGCCUUAUAAUUUGCAGCGUUAUUGGUCAUUACUUACACAACAUUUUCCUAUAUUUAGUUCUAAAAGUGCUGGUUUUGUUAAUUAGAAAGGCCAUAAAAUUUCUUGAAAAUGAAAAUAGUUGGUAAAUUCAAAAUUCAUGAAUCCUUUGAUUUUGUUCUAUUUUAAUUUCUAUUAACCAAUGGCAGAUUGCAUAUUGUAGUGAUGGUUUGUUUAAAAUUUGGAACAUUGGAAAGACUUUAAGAAACAGAGGCUAGGAUGUUAGGUUUUUGAUUUUGUGGUGCAGUUACUGUAUUAUAUAUAUAUAUAACUGGGUUUAAAAUCGUGAUUUUACAUGAUUUUAAAGAUUUAAUAUGAUUUUAUCACUUUUUAAAUUUUAAAAUUGAUUUGAUAUAAUAAAUAUAUUGACUUAUAUAAUUUUACAAGUUAACUCGUAGUAUCGUUAUGGCCUUUCAAGUGGUCAUUUAAUACACGGCUGGCUCCCCUGAGCAACCCUAAUAAUCGGUCAAGAAAAAUUCUAUGAAGCGUUAGUAGUUGGCUUUUUGGCUCCAAUCAUUAAAACCCCAACUGCACUACCAAGUCAUUUACUCACCCCACCAACACACAAUCAUUGAAACAAAUUAUGAAUCCUAUAGAAAGGUUUUUGAGUAUAUUGUUUCUCUUCCUUGUUUUUCCUUCUUGCUUAUCUAUUGACAUCAUAGCUCCAAACCAGUCAAUCAAAGAUGGAGAUGUUCUGGUCUCUAGUGGACAAAGCUAUGAACUCGGGUUCUUUAGCUCAGGCAUCAAUCCUACUCGUCGUUAUGUGGGAAUUUGGUACCAUAGUACUAAGGUUUCAGAACCAACUGUUGUAUGGGUGGCAAAUAGAGAUAAUCCUAUCAAUGGUACCUCCGGAGUCCUAGCUAUCAACAAACAAGGUAACCUUGUAAUUUAUGAAAAUAACCGAAGUAGUGUUCCUGUUUGGUCUUCAAAUGCUCCAGCCUCAAUAUCAAUGACAAAUUGCACGGCUCAGCUCCUGGAUUCAGGAAACUUGGUCUUAGUUCAACAGGAUAGCAAAGGGAUCUUGUGGCAGAGUUUUGAUCAUGGUACAGAUACUCUGCUUCCUGGUAUGAAGGUUGGGCUGGACCUGAAAAUCGGUUUGAACCGGUCUCUGUCAUCUUGGAAGUCCAAAGAUGACCCGGGAACCGGAACCAUUUUUUCUAUGGUAUUGAUCCAAGGGGGUUUCCCCAGUUGUUCCUAUACAAGGGUCAAAUCCCAUGGUGGCGUAGCGGACCAUGGACUGGAC